Long non-coding RNA from Leopardus geoffroyi (Geoffroy's cat), 261 nucleotides. RefSeq lists it as uncharacterized. The record is from RefSeq and is a predicted model, not a curated record. The transcript has 3 exons. Lineage: Eukaryota; Metazoa; Chordata; Mammalia; Carnivora; Felidae.
GAUCAAGAGCAGCUUUGAGACUGUGGUCCCACACUGAGCACAGUAAUAAUCAGCCUCGUCCUCAGCCUGGAGCCCAGUGAUGGUCAGGGUGCCUGUGCUGCCAGACUUGGAGCCAGAGAAUCGUUCAGGGACCCCUGAGGGUCGUCUGUUAUUACCAUAGAUGAGGAGUAGGGGCCUUUCCUGGAAGCUGUUGGUACCAGUUCAUACCAGCCAGACCAAUGUUGCUCCUACUUCCAGUGCAAGAGAUGGUGACCUUCUGGC